RNAcentral lists this long non-coding RNA (2204 nucleotides) under Anneissia japonica. Its description in RNAcentral is "uncharacterized LOC117115780, transcript variant X1". The record is from RNAcentral. Lineage: Eukaryota; Metazoa; Echinodermata; Crinoidea; Comatulida; Comatulidae.
UGUGCUGGACAAACUUGCAAUAAUGUUUUGCCAAUGCUUAGACAUUAGACAAUGAUAAAUCAGAUGCAAGAGGAAAUUGACAAGUACAAGCAAAAUUCAGAGAAUGUUCAAGAAUAAGAAAGUAGUUUCAGAAAUGUUGGAUCAGCAGUUCAGUGCUCUGAAGACAGUUGUCUCGAAGUGGUAUGAUGAAAACAAAUGUCCUCCUCUGUUGAAAGUGUUGUUUAGAGAUAAGGUGAAACAUGGGACACUAGCAGAAAUAACUAACACAAUGGACUGAAUGAUUUGGUUGUACAUGUUGAGAUAAAUUCAAAUGAUCUCACUUUACUGUACGAUACCGUCAAAAUAACUGAGCAUUAUGGUCUCAAAAUAAAGAUUCAAGAAACACUGCCAUCAUUCUCAGAUGUUAAAGAAAGAAACUUUCAACAAAACAUUUCAUACUUCACAGGUAAAAGCUUACUGUAAAUGAAAUUGGGAAACGUAUUGACUCCACUUGACAAUAUAAUACACCACUCAAAAGCAGUAUACCAACAGCUAUGGUCAUUGAUGUUGAAGACAGACUGGAAAUCAGUGAAGGAAAUAUGAAGGAAUUCAUUGAGUCUUUGGAAGACCUUAAUCUUUGCAUGGCGUUGAAGGCACUGACAGAAGGCAUCAAUUUACCAAGCUAUGGAAGAAACUUGUUGAUGAAGGAAAGUUAGUCGGACAUCCUUGGAGAGAUGAGCUUAGCAAAGACGAAACUAGCUGUGAGGUCUUCUUGGAAUUAAUGAAGUAGUUUGGACUGCUCUUUGAGCAGAUUAAGGAUAUUGCAAUUGAUUGCGGAAGAGAUUGGCAAGGACUGGAAUUCAUUUGGCGGCACCGUUGGUCUAAAAUGGAUAGCAUUGAGAUGGACUUUCAGCAACUGUGGACGCAAGUCUGGAAAUGCUGGUCAAGUAGCAAGAAAGUAAACCACCUUGGAGAGAUAGGCUGUUACUAAAGAACUCUGGGAGUACUAUCUUAAACAAAAAGUAAUGAAAGAACAUUUGUAGGUACACAUUGGUACCAGAAUUUUGAAAGACAAUUACACAGUGAUUAGGCCUGGGGCUAGUUUCCCACACUCCCUUCAGUGAGAGCAUGACCCCACCACUGUGAUUAUGACUCUCAAUGUGAUAUCUUUUAAGAAUUAAGAAGAUUAAUUGAAAUGUUUGAGGGCGUUGUUUAGUAUACCUAGAUCGAAUGUACAUUUAGUCGGAUAAAGAUUGUGGACAAUGCUACAUAUUUUAAAUUUAAUUUAUAUUUAAAACAAUACGGAAUUCCAAAUCAUUCCGGUAGGAUGCAGUAUUUUUUCACUACAUAACAAUUUUUAUUCAAAAACUAAAGCUCAACUGAAUACAAUUCACUGUACAGUUUCAAAUUCCACAAUGAAUAAUGAAAAAGAAGCAUUUAAAAAGGCUACACAAUAGUAGGCAUGGCCCGUAUCCACGGGCUGGGAUGGUUGCAUACGCAGCUCCUUAUUAAAAAAAAAAAUGCUCGGUAUUUUUAAGACAGUUAAAAAUAUACUGAGUUAAAAAAAAAAAAAUAACCAGUAAUCUAUCAGAAUCUGACAACACCCUACAAUACCAAAGCUGUGAUUCAACUGGCUCUUCCCCUUUACACUGUCAGUGUUUCUAGGCGAUACCCAUACCCCACUUGGUCCGUUUUUGGCUAUCCUGGCUAUGACCCGAAAUGGUCACAUCCUCGUCCCUUGUUCAGUGAAUUAAAUUAGAAUAAAAUAGGCAUUUUUCAGUUGUACUUCAUCUUGGUUUUGUAAUGGAGAUUAUUAUUCUAUUUCUUUAAAGUGUUAUAUAAGCAAAACUAAUGCUAUGUAAAUGUCUUGUAAACUAUAAAGGAACAUAAACAUUAUUGAUAUCUGAAAGUAUGAACUGAAGGUUUUAGUUAUUGUGUGUAUAUUUUCAAGAUUAUAUUAGGCAAAAAAAAGAUUGUUGUGUUGUUUUGCACUUAAAUGGAAAAAAUCUAGAUCAUCGGUCGGUCAGUCAUUCAAUCGGAUUUUUUUUUUCCUGAAAUUGGAUAGGCCUCAAACUGCAGUCCCUAUUAGGAAGGCUUCGUAGUCACCACAAUAGAAGGCAAGCUUUCCAAACAAAAUGUGUUCAAAAGUAAUGACAGAAUAAAUACUAGCACAAGUAUAUGUAUAAUUGAAAUGAACGAAAAUAAAUCAGUUUGAUGAAAAAAAA